CACCACCAGGCCAUAGAUGGCGAUGAUGCC
RNAcentral lists this non-coding RNA (30 nucleotides) under Homo sapiens (human). The record is from RNAcentral. Lineage: Eukaryota; Metazoa; Chordata; Mammalia; Primates; Hominidae.